Molecule: ribosomal RNA, 497 nt
Filed under: uncultured bacterium
Lineage: Bacteria
Description: partial 16S ribosomal RNA
Rfam family: Bacterial small subunit ribosomal RNA
Source: RNAcentral
GAUGAACGCUGGCGGCGUGCCUAAUACAUGCAAGUCGAACGAACAGACGCGGUGCUUGCUCCUCUGACGUUAGCGGCGGACGGGUGAGUAACACGUGGAUCACCUCCCUAUCAUACUGGGAUAACUUCGGGAAACCGGCGCUAAUACCGGAUAAUAUCUUGCACCGCAUGGUUCAAUAGUGAAAGACGGUUUUUCUGUAUCUUCUCGAUGCAUACGGGCCGCAUUAGCUAGUUGGUAAGGUAACGGCUUACCAAGGCUACCAUGCGUAGCCGAGGGGAGAGAGGGGUCGGCGGCACGGGAAGGGGGACACGGUCCAGGCUCCUACGGGAGGCAGCAGAAGGGAAUCUUACGCAAUGGUCGAAAGUUUGACGGAGUGACGCGGCGCGAGUGAUGAAGGUGCUCGGAGCGGAAAACCCUGCUAUGAGGGAAGAACAGAUGUGUAAGGAACUGUGCACGGAUUGACGGUACCGAAUCAGAAAGCCACGGCUAACUACGUG